GUUGGUGUGUUAGAAAAAUACAUAAAAAGGCUGAGUUCUGCUAUCUUGAUAAGAAAUAAAAUUACCCUAAGAGAAAAUCCUAACUUCAAGUGAAUUUAAUCAGAAUACCUCUUUCUGACAUUUUGGUAUAUAGUUGUAACUGAUACCUCACCAGUUACAUAAAAAAGUUUAUUAUUAUUAGUUAUAUUCAGAACCUUUCCUGAAUAACAACUAACAAUGGACAACAGUUU
Molecule: long non-coding RNA, 230 nt
Filed under: Mytilus galloprovincialis (Mediterranean mussel)
Lineage: Eukaryota; Metazoa; Mollusca; Bivalvia; Mytilida; Mytilidae
Source: RNAcentral